Molecule: unclassified non-coding RNA, 488 nt
Filed under: Hevea brasiliensis (rubber tree)
Lineage: Eukaryota; Viridiplantae; Streptophyta; Magnoliopsida; Malpighiales; Euphorbiaceae
Source: RNAcentral
UCCUCCUUCCUUGCUAUUUUUGCACUUCUUUUCUCCUCCAUCAUAAUAUCGUCAAAAUUGGCCUCCAUAUCGCUAUCAUCAUCAUCUCGGGAAAAUUUUGCAGGAUUAUAUCCGAACAUUUUUCUGAUCAGACUAAUAGCUUCAUCACCCUCAGCAUCAUCCUCUUCAUCAGAGUAUCGUCUUGCAGGCCUUUUCUUGGGUCGCUGAUCAUUCACAGCCGGACGUGAUGAAACUUGUCUCUGGGCUGGUGCCUUACUUAUCUGAGGUCUUGAUGAUGAUACUGGCCGACUCGGUGCUACUUUGGCCUUAGCAGGUGGACGCAUGUCAUUCCUUUUAUCUUCAAGCUUUUUCGGCGGUAAUGGCUUGCGCACACCAGGUACAGAAUUCUUUGUAUCUGGUAGAGAAGGUUUUUUCUGAAUGACGGCAGAUGAGGCUUUUGGUGCCACCAUUGGCCGGCCAGGACCAUUCCCAUUGUUGCUAUUACCAAG